AAAAAGGCAAACCCUGAGUUUCCGUGUCCAAUUUUGACUAUCCGUCUUAUAUGAAAUUUUUUUAUAAUUCGUAUUUUUAUUGUUGUUAGAUGAUAAAACAUGAUUAAUAUUUUAUGCGUGACUUAUCUUUUUAAUUUUUUUCAUAAUUUUUUUAAAUAAGACGGACGGUUAAAUGUUAGGCACGAAAACCAGCGUUUGUC
Molecule: microRNA precursor, 200 nt
Filed under: Oryza nivara
Lineage: Eukaryota; Viridiplantae; Streptophyta; Magnoliopsida; Poales; Poaceae
Description: MIR812 microRNA precursor family
Rfam family: MIR812 microRNA precursor family
Source: Rfam by way of RNAcentral